CUGUAGCAACUGGAUUGUCUAUUCACCCCUAUAGUUCCACAACACAAUGAAACUCUAGACUACUACAUGUACGAUGUUAUGAAAUAUUUACAUAUACUACAUGUACAUCUACAUGAUCAAUUUUGAAGAUUGUUUUUGCCAGGUGUAAUCAUGUCAACUAGUACAACAAGUUUUGAUUCAGCUUUCUGACAGGAAUUAUUUAUAAACUUGCCAGCAGUUACAACAAAUGAAUAUUAUUAAUUGAGUUAAAAAUUAAGCUCAUUUGGACAGUGAAGUGAUUUUGACGCGUAUUGAAGUAGACAUUAAACAUGUUAAACGUUUCAAAUUGAUAUCGAAUUAUGUGUAAAUGCAGCAUUGAUUUAUUUAAGAAAUUAAGAAUAAAGAAAUAUUAAAAAAAGAUGGAGAAAAUAUUUGUAUUAAAUUUGUUGGAAUUUUUGUCUUGCCAAAGAUGACAGAGUCAAAAAGAGAGGCAUACAUGUAUAUAUAGUUGUGUUGUUUUGUCAG
Molecule: long non-coding RNA, 504 nt
Filed under: Mytilus galloprovincialis (Mediterranean mussel)
Lineage: Eukaryota; Metazoa; Mollusca; Bivalvia; Mytilida; Mytilidae
Source: RNAcentral